ACGCCAUUCAGAUUUCCAAUGUUUUACUAUUACUCACUUUGUUUCGUUCUGAAAACAUUGUUAUGCUGUAAUUCCAAUAGAACAUUGGGACACGUGUUUGGCAUAACAAUCUAGGAAAUUAAAAAAGAAAACACUUGUGUCUGUGCUGUUUGCUAGAAAAUUGCAUCUUUCUAAAUGUAAGUAACAUGUUACAAUUUUAAAAGUCUUUCGUUAAGUCAAGCCGUUUGUGCUACAUCAAAUCAAAAUGGCUACCUUAUGACAUGUAUUACAGACCGGCUUCGAAUUUCUAAUGUUUAGUAUCUUGCUAUUAGAACAGAAAAUAUUCUAUGAUGCCGUUUUGACAUGGAUAGGAAUUAUAUAAGUCAGCACUAAUUUUCAUAACUCGCUAACUCUCGGUAUAAAGAUAUUGACACAUAUGAUACCUGUAUCAAUGUUAAAUGAAAGGACAAACCAAU
RNAcentral lists this long non-coding RNA (455 nucleotides) under Mytilus galloprovincialis (Mediterranean mussel). Lineage: Eukaryota; Metazoa; Mollusca; Bivalvia; Mytilida; Mytilidae. The record is from RNAcentral.